UACGUAGGGCAAGCGUUAUCCGGAAUUACUGGGUGUAAAGGGUACGUAGGCGGCCAUUAAGUCAGAUGUGAAAGCCCGGAGCUCAACUCCGGGAUUGCAUUUGAAACUGGUGGGCUAGAGUACAGGAGAGGAAAGUGGAAUUCCUAGUGUAGCGGUGAAAUGCGUAGAUAUUAGGAAGAACACCAGUGGCGAAGGCGGCUUUCUGGACUGUAACUGACGCUGAGGUACGAAAGCGUGGGGAGCAAACAGG
RNAcentral lists this ribosomal RNA (250 nucleotides) under uncultured bacterium. RNAcentral describes it as "partial 16S ribosomal RNA". It matches the Rfam family "Bacterial small subunit ribosomal RNA", at positions 524 to 776 of the family's 1533-position model. The record is from RNAcentral.